UUUCUCUCUUCAAAUUCUUCGGAUCCUCACAAAGUCCAUUCUCUCUCUUCUCUUCCCUCUCAUAUUUACUCACUCUCACAGACAACUAUCAUUAGUGUAGUGGAAGUCGAUGAUCAACCAGCAAGUGAUGAUUUCAAAAUGGGUGCGGUGAGGAGCAAUAAAUAAAAAGCAAACAAAAGAUUGGAUUGUUGAAAAGAAUAAAUCGGGAAUGAGAAGUGGAAUAAAUAUUUAUGUUCUUCAGG
Vigna angularis (adzuki bean) is the source of this 242-nucleotide long non-coding RNA. RefSeq lists it as uncharacterized. NCBI's taxonomy places the organism in Eukaryota, Viridiplantae, Streptophyta, Magnoliopsida, Fabales, Fabaceae. The record is from RefSeq and is a predicted model, not a curated record. The transcript has 3 exons.